UACGUAGGGUGCAAGCGUUGUCCGGAAUUAUUGGGCGUAAAGAGCUUGUAGGCGGUUUGUCGCGUCUGCUGUGAAAACCCGAGGCUCAACCUCGGGCCUGCAGUGGGUACGGGCAGACUAGAGUGCGGUAGGGGAGAUUGGAAUUCCUGGUGUAGCGGUGGAAUGCGCAGAUAUCAGGAGGAACACCAAUGGCGAAGGCAGAUCUCUGGGCCGUAACUGACGCUGAGGAGCGAAAGCAUGGGGAGCGAACAGG
RNAcentral lists this ribosomal RNA (253 nucleotides) under uncultured bacterium. RNAcentral's name for it is "partial 16S ribosomal RNA". It matches the Rfam family "Bacterial small subunit ribosomal RNA", at positions 524 to 776 of the family's 1533-position model. The record is from RNAcentral.